Molecule: non-coding RNA, 114 nt
Organism: Xiphophorus maculatus (southern platyfish)
Lineage: Eukaryota; Metazoa; Chordata; Actinopteri; Cyprinodontiformes; Poeciliidae
Source: Rfam
GUGGGCUACGGCGACAUGUGUCCAGUGACCAUCGGUGGGAAGAUCGUGGGCUCCCUGUGCGCCAUCGCCGGGGUCCUGACGAUCGCGCUUCCGGUUCCGGUCAUCGUCUCCAAC